GCUGGGCGCAGUGGUGGGUGCCUGUAGUCCCAGCUACUCGGGAGGCUGAGGUGGGAGGAUUGUUUGAGCCCAGGAGUUCUGGGCUGUAGUGCGCUAUGCUGAUUGGGUGUCCGUACUAAGUUCAGCAUCAAUAUGGUGACCUCCUGGGAGCAGGGGACCACCAGGUUGCCUAAGGAGGGGUGAACUGGCCCAGGUCAGAAACAAAGCAGGUCAAAACUCCCAUGCCGAUCAGUAGUGAGAUCGUGCCUGUGAAUAGCCACUGCACUCCAGCCUGGGCAACAUAGCAAGACCAAGUCUCC
This 299-nucleotide signal recognition particle RNA is filed under the name Cebus imitator (Panamanian white-faced capuchin). RNAcentral describes it as "Metazoan signal recognition particle RNA (ENSCCAG00000013173.1)". It matches the Rfam family "Metazoan signal recognition particle RNA". From Rfam's summary of the family: The signal recognition particle (SRP) is a universally conserved ribonucleoprotein. It is involved in the co-translational targeting of proteins to membranes. The record is from RNAcentral. Lineage: Eukaryota; Metazoa; Chordata; Mammalia; Primates; Cebidae.